Long non-coding RNA from Neopsephotus bourkii (Bourke's parrot), 1013 nucleotides. RefSeq lists it as uncharacterized. Lineage: Eukaryota; Metazoa; Chordata; Aves; Psittaciformes; Psittacidae. The record is from RefSeq and is a predicted model, not a curated record. The transcript has 3 exons.
GAACGUGACAAAGAUGCAUUCUGUGUGGAGGAAAGAAACCUCAGUUGUUGCCAAAACACUGUGUUCCAGAUGCAAGCUGACAAACUGUCACUGCAGAAGGUCAGGAUGAUACAGGCCACCUUCCAGGAAAUCUGCAGGAAGCAAAGCACUGAGCUGCAAAGGCAAUGCAGAAGAGGCAGUACAGUAAUAGAACACCUCUUAUCUCUUCAAAAUCAUGAAGCCAUCGCCAUCCUGCCUUCUGCUCAACAGGUUGGCUCAGGCACUCAUCUUUGGCUCUGCAUGUGAAAGUACAAGUCAGAAAGCCAAUAUGAGCUGGAGAAUCAAAAAAGGACUGCCCUUGCAGGUACACUUUUGUAAUCCCAGUACAACCUGAGCCUGCCAAAUAGUACAGCCUUUAGUGCAGACAUUCAUUUGGAUCCAGGUAGGAUGCCUCAAGCAUUUUAGGCAUGGGAUCUAUGGCAAGUAUUUUUCUAACUGAAGCAUGCUCUAAUGCUUCAGUGAUAAUACCAAGAACAUGGGAAGGAGAGAAACUGGACUGACAGCUGCAAAUCUUCUUCUAAAAGAGAAGAUGGUCUUAAUGAUAGUAAAAGCCUGGGAGCAGAUUCCAGACUUCAAGGCAUCUGAUUGGAAACUUUUUUAAACCAAGAAUAUCUCUAACUGCAUACUCAUCAGAACAAGCAGGAGAGCUCCAGCAACCACAGUGAAAAUAGCAAAAUGAAGAAACAAACAAGAAGAGGGUGGAAAAAGCAGGAUAUCUGUAAACAAAGAAGAAUGGAAAAGUGUCCUGAGUUUAAAAAAACAAAAGGAGAGAGGUAAGGGAAGUAGAAGGGAAGCAUGAGUUAGACAAAUUGAAGAAACAAAAGACAGAAAGCCGACAAAAAUAGAAAAAUCAACACGACAAAACCCCAGAAUCAGAAAAACAAAGUGAGGAGGAAGAAGUAGGGGGAGGAAGACAGAAGACCUGAAGCACUGAAGAUUAGAAAAAUGAAAGAAGGCAGAAAUCCAGUGUUAAA